Oreochromis aureus is the source of this 1923-nucleotide long non-coding RNA. RefSeq lists it as uncharacterized. Lineage: Eukaryota; Metazoa; Chordata; Actinopteri; Cichliformes; Cichlidae. The record is from RefSeq and is a predicted model, not a curated record. The transcript is spliced from 2 exons.
CGGUGUUCCGGUGUUAGUGGCUAGCUUGCCGGUGAUAUUUUGAGCAGUGUGCCGUUACGGAGCCGACAUGAGCUGCAUUAUUCAUGUCUCUCUGCGGGUCUGACAAGGGCCUCGGCUCACGGUGGGCUUUUUUAAGAUAACGGGACCUCGCGGCUGUUUAACGGCCGGGGUUUUACCCCGUUAGUGUCCGUUUAACGCAGUAAUGAGCGUUUUUCCUCCUCACGCCAUUUAGUCCAACAUUAAACAUGAACGCGCAGCGCGGCACCAAAGCUGUAGCUGAUGUUUGCCCCGGAGUCGUGCUCGCGAGAGGACUGGGACCAGUGAACCCAGUAUGCGAAACUGGACAGGGAUGCUUAGCUAACUGAGGAUAACAUGGGCAGUCCACUGUGCGCCCAGCAGGGGGCGCUGUGGGAGGGCCCUCAAUGAUUUCCACCGGUUUCCACACAAAAACACGCUAGUUCCCACAAAUCCAGAAUCAGUACUGUGAACUGAAACAAAUCAACUGUAAUGAUCAAUAUUUUAUUCACUGUGACGCUGAUUUUUGCCCACAAAACACUAGCAUUCGGCUAACACGUGCUGAUUGGUGAGUUUUAGAAUAGGACGUCCUCUCUCGAUGGCGUUCUUUUCCAGGUGAUGCCUCCUGCAGGUGUUACCGUCGUAGUUACUAUCAAGAAGCAGACGGUGGUUGAAGUGUUUGAAGGUGAUGCUAACUGCUGCUGGCUUCAUGCCCCAAAUCAAAAUGGAGGAUGUAUUAAAGUGGCUUGUGGUGCUCACAGAAAGCUCCAUAGAGCUCCAUUCAUCCAGGAUGAGCUCGAGAGUGCCCUCUGUGGAGCAGGAAGAGAACAGCUGCUCUUUCAUCCGCCGUGCUCGCAGUUCUGUCCUCGUUAGUGACUUUAACGAGCAGAGAAAACAAAGUUUGAACACACCAAAUAACACUGACAACCAGAGCAUGAUACUGCAUCGUACACCUUUUGUCUGUCGUAAGGUUUUACAUGUCAGGACAUCAGAAAAAAAUAGGUGUUAAAAUUAAGAAAAUACAACCUCAGAUGAACAACACGUUGUACAUUACACAGUAAUUAUUUAACAAAAAGACCAAAUCCAGAAGUAUUGUAGCUCCUCCUUCAGCAGCAGUAACCUGCAGUGAUCGGUCUGUGUCAUCACUGUGGGCGAGCUUUGGUCCGCUCUUCUUCAGGUCGUUGAGGUUUGCAGCAUUCGUUCAUGCACAGCUCUCUGAGCUCUGCAGCAGCUCCGUUCUUUCCUUUUUCAGCCGUUCCAUUGGAUCUUUGUCCUGUUGAUGACCCAGUUUGGUCCCAGCUUUAUCUGUGGGGCAGCCGGCCUCACACUGACUCUGGGACAGUUUGGAGUUCAUGGUGCGCUCAGAUCAUCAUCCCUCCUCCACCGUGCUCACAGCUGCUAGCUGUUUGUUUCUUCCAAACGUGCUGCUGCGCAUGUUGGAGAAACAUCUGCACUCUGGUCUCGUCUCAGAGCACAUCGUUCCUGUUCAGUUCCUUUGAGCACUGCACGCUCUGAUCCUGGGGUGAAUUUGCUGCAUCCACUGCUGGCAGAAUGUGGAUCCACCCUGUUCUCUCCUAUAGAAGCAGCGAGGGUGGAGGUUUCACACAGUUUCUGUAUUUUGACCUAUUUUCCCUUAAAUGAAUACUGACUAAGUUUAAUAUGUCACUUUUUUUUUACGGUUGUAUUUAAAUCAUUUUAAACUAGCUAAGGACUGGAGUAAUAGUAUUAUGUUCUGCUCACUUUCCUACUUUCUUUUGACUGUGACUGUUUCUGCUAAUAUUCGUAGGGGAGCACUGAUCAAACGUUUCUCAGUCCGGAUGCUGACACCUUGUAUUUGAGUUCCUGACGUAAAAUAAAGUAAUAAAUGACGAGAGGAGCAUGAUAAAUAAAAUAAAAAAACAACCUAUG